CGCACACGCCGACGGUACGCCUUCUCCUCUCCACGCCACCGCUUGUGUUGCUAAUUCUGUGUUCUAACAACAACGCCUACCACAACUGAAAGCUUUUUUACUAAGUGCUCAGUUUUUUUCUUAAUUUUGGAAAAGAUGGCAGCAGAGUAUAAAAAAGAAAAUGAAAAUCUCCAGGUGCCGGAGCUCGGGGUACGUCCCUCAUAAACAUGCUAGCGUAGGGGAGCAGCCGGGGCCCAGAGCCCUUGGAGCCUGAUGUUGCCAGGACGACCGCAGCAGAAGCAGUCCCGGCAGUGGGUGACCAGUGACGGAUGUGGGAAGGGUUUGUCCCCCGGAAAUGUGCUGGGGGAGCAGCGCUCGACUCAGGGGUUUCACUAAGUUGCCCUGACUGGCCUCAAACUUGAGAUCCUCCUGCCUCAGCCUCCCACCAUAACUGGGAUUACUGACAUGCACCACUGCACCCAGUGGGGAGUCGGCCCUGUCCCCCUGUCCUCCCCCAGCAUGGGCUCCCUGUGUCCUGUGCUUGCCGGGCAGGCGCCUGUGUCCCGAUGACCGUCCUGGCGGCUGUCCUGCCCUGCCACCCCCACCCCCCCGACGGCUGGGACCUGAAGCCCACGGAGCUGACUGUGAACCUGGUGUGGCAGAGACACGGACAGAGGGAAGGACAGGGGCAGCAGGCCACCCAGCUGUGCCCCAGCCGGGACACCAAAGAGGAGCGGGACACAGGCUGGGGAGCCACCAUGCCAGCACCAUCUCGACAAGAAGCCUGUGUGGCCUGGUCCUGUCCUGGGCUCCGAGUGGCACGGGGGACUGGGACUGGACCCUCCCAGACCAGGGGCCACACCCGUGUCGCAAGGAGCUGCACUGGCCCUGCAUGCUCUGGGACCUGCCUUGCAUGGGCCAUGGGGCCCGCUGGGUGACGUCAGUGGGACAGAGGCCACUUCCUGUGACUGCUGGCAGAGCCGCCCGACGAUGAUGUCCGGCAUCACCUCCCAGGAUGGGGGUCUGUAUUCAGAGCCCUCGAAUUUAACAAGAGC
This 1034-nucleotide long non-coding RNA is filed under the name Heterocephalus glaber (naked mole-rat). RNAcentral describes it as "lncRNA (ENSHGLG00000032416.1)". Lineage: Eukaryota; Metazoa; Chordata; Mammalia; Rodentia; Bathyergidae. The record is from RNAcentral.